Molecule: ribosomal RNA, 512 nt
Filed under: Simulium mirum
Lineage: Eukaryota; Metazoa; Arthropoda; Insecta; Diptera; Simuliidae
Description: partial 16S ribosomal RNA
Rfam family: Bacterial large subunit ribosomal RNA
Source: RNAcentral
GUUAUUUAAUAUAAAGUCUGACCUGCCCACUGAAAUUAUUUUGAAGGGCCGCAGUAUUUUGACUGUGCAAAGGUAGCAUAAUCAUUAGUCUUUUAAUUGAAGGCUGGUAUGAAUGGUUGGAUGAGGUACAAGCUGUGUCAUAAAAAUUAAUAUUUGAAUUUACCUUUUUAGUCAAAAGGCUAAAAUAAAAUUAAAAGACGAGAAGACCCUAUAGAGCUUUAUAUAUUUUAUAUUUAAAUUAUUAAGAUUUUUUAAAUUUAAUUAUUUUAUUAUAUUUUGUUGGGGUGACAAUAAAAUUUAUAAAACUUUUAUUAUUAUUAUACAUUUAUUUAUGACCAUAUGAUCCAGUUUUAUUGAUUAUAAAUUUAAGUUACCUUAGGGAUAACAGCGUAAUUUUUUUUGAGAGUUCUUAUCGACAAAAAAGAUUGCGACCUCGAUGUUGGAUUAAGAGUAAUUUUGGGUGUAGAAGUUCAAAGUUUAAGUCUGUUCGACUUUUAAAUUCUUACAUGAUC